This 69-nucleotide transfer RNA is filed under the name Gabonibacter massiliensis. It matches the Rfam family "tRNA". From Rfam's summary of the family: Transfer RNA (tRNA) molecules are approximately 80 nucleotides in length. The record is from RNAcentral. RNAcentral also lists the same sequence under 1 other name. Lineage: Bacteria; Pseudomonadati; Bacteroidota; Bacteroidia; Bacteroidales; Porphyromonadaceae.
UGCCAUAGCUCAGUCGGUAGAGCAAAGGACUGAAAAUCCUUGUGUCCCCGGUUCGAUUCCUGGUGGCAC